Molecule: ribosomal RNA, 465 nt
Filed under: uncultured bacterium
Lineage: Bacteria
Description: bacterial SSU rRNA
Rfam family: Bacterial small subunit ribosomal RNA
Source: RNAcentral
CCAGACUCCUACGGGAGGCAGCAGUGAGGAAUAUUGGUCAAUGGCCGCAGGGCUGAACCAGCCAAGUCGCGUGAGGGAGGACGGCCCUACGGGUUGUAAACCUCUUUUGCCGGGGAGCAACGGGCGUCACGUGUGGCGCCACUGAGAGUACCCGGAGAAAAGGCAUCGGCUAACUCCGUGCCAGCAGCCGCGGUAAUACGGAGGAUGCGAGCGUUAAUCGGAAUUACUGGGCGUAAAGGGUGUGCAGGCGGUUUUGCAAGAUGGAUGUGAAAGCCCCGGGCUUAACCUGGGAAAGCCAUACAUGACUGCAAGACUAGAGUGCGUCAGAGGGGGGUGGAAUUCCAAGUGUAGCAGUGAAAUGCGUAGAUAUUUGGAAGAACACCGAUGGCGAAGGCAGCCCCCUGGGACGCAACUGACGCUCAUACACGAAAGCGUGGGGAGCAAACAGGAUUAGAUACCCCGGUA